GGGGGCGACACGGCUUCGACGAAGCUCGCCGAAUGCCUGGUUGCGCGUCGCGGACGCAGAUGGCCGCGUUACCAAUCUGCAACGCCAAUAACUGGCAACGAUAACUUCGCUUUGGCUGCUUAACCGUAGCCAACGUCCUCUAGAAGCCCCGCUUGUGGCUCGCUAGUCGGACGUUCUAAAACAAGCUAGCUGAAGGCCUUGCUCGCCGGGCUGAUGCGAAAACCUAAGGGCGUGUAAGCUUGAAACUUGAGGCUGGUCGCCGCGCCUGUUUCGAGCCGACAAUCUAAGAGGUGACUACGCGCGUAGACGCCGGUUUGAGGGAGUUUCGGACGCGGGUUCGACUCCCGCCGCCUCCACCA
RNAcentral lists this transfer-messenger RNA (359 nucleotides) under Trueperaceae. Its description in RNAcentral is "G020354625 sp020354625 Standard tmRNA". It matches the Rfam family "transfer-messenger RNA". Rfam says of the family: Bacterial tmRNA, also known as 10Sa RNA or SsrA, is named for its dual tRNA and mRNA-like properties. Its role is to liberate the mRNA from a stalled ribosome. Lineage: Bacteria; Thermotogati; Deinococcota; Deinococci; Trueperales. The record is from RNAcentral. RNAcentral also lists the same sequence under 1 other name.